This 1347-nucleotide long non-coding RNA is filed under the name Vitis vinifera (wine grape). RNAcentral's name for it is "long non-coding RNA (VVIN_LNC002439)". The record is from RNAcentral. Lineage: Eukaryota; Viridiplantae; Streptophyta; Magnoliopsida; Vitales; Vitaceae.
AUUAAUUGACCAUAAAAAAUAAUUAAUAUCUGAAUUUUGGAAAAUGUGUACAUGGAUGUGGGAGAGAGAGAGAGACGUGUACCUGAAUCUGAUCCCCAAGGUUGACAAUGAGAGCAUCUGGAAUAGGCUCAACAGUGACCCAGUGCUCGCCUUUACGGACUUGGAGGCCAGAAACGUCAUCAUCGGGGAGGAGAAUGGUCAUGCCACCGGGGUCGGAGUGAGGUGAAAUGCCGAGGGUGAGGUCUGGUUGUGGGCACUUGGGGUAGUAAUUCACCCUCAGGCAUGCCCCAACGUCAUCCCCUCCAAAUGCGUUUUGGAGAUGGUCCCCCUCUAGUCCAAGGUUCACCGAUAAAAUCUUCAUUAAAAUUCCACAUAGCUCAACCACAGCUUUGCUGUACUCGUGCACCAGUUCCCUGCAUUCAUUUCCAUCCAUUAACCCUUUUUUUUUUUUUUUUUGCCUUUACUACAUUUUCAAUAUUUAUAUAUUUUUGUUGUCAAAAAAUUCGAAAGAAAAUAUAAAGGAGAAGUAGAAGUAAAAUAAAAAAAAAUAGAUUAAAAAUUGAUAAAUUAUUUUUUUUAUUACUUCAAACUCAUUUUAUUUAUUUUAACUCAUUAAUAUAAAAAUUAAAUAAUUUAAAAAUAUAUAUUAAUUUUUAAUUAGUUUUAAUCAUAUUUUAUUUUUUAGAUAUUUUUCAUAGUACAACCAUGAAAAAAUUAUUUUUCUUUUCAUUUUUUUCUUUCCUUAAUAUUUUUUAGGAACCAAACAUAUUAGUCUCUCAUUCUGAGAGGCUUUUAAACUUUAAUAAAGGUCGAUUUUGACCGUAUUUGGAUGGGUUAGGUAUGACACUUUCCUAUAUAAAAUUUAAGCAUAUUUUUUAAAAGUAAUGAAAAUGUUUUAAUAAAAAUAUUUUUCAAACAUAAAAUUCAAUAGUUAUUGUCCUAGAAAGAUCCUUUUUCUGCCCUUAUCAUCUCUAGAGGUUGCAAGUGGUGAUUAAAGAGAGAGAGAGAAAACUAAAAAAAGAAAAGUCUCAAAACCCUUUCUAUUUAUAUUUUGUGGGCCAAAUUGGAUUACAGAAUACCUAAAACUGAAAAAGGCACUUCUCAAAAUACUUUCUAUUUCUAUUUUGUGGGCCAAAUUAGAUUACACAGUACCCAAAACUUAAAAAAGGUCUUCCCAAUUGGGUUAACCUUCUUAAAUAUGAGGACCUCAAAUUGGUUACUAUUAUCAAAUGUUUAUCUUUUAAAAUAGUACACCAUUCUUACAAUACAUCAAACAAAAAUACACCUUAUUUUCAUUAAAUUAGAAAAUUAAUACUUUUUAAAUUUUUAUUUAUUAGAAAUUUAUUU